RNAcentral lists this unclassified non-coding RNA (161 nucleotides) under Sporobolus maritimus. Its description in RNAcentral is "partial external transcribed spacer". Lineage: Eukaryota; Viridiplantae; Streptophyta; Magnoliopsida; Poales; Poaceae. The record is from RNAcentral.
AGGUAUAUUAGGGGGAGGGGGUUGCUCCGAGAGGACCCUCCACGGUGGGAUGGGAUAAUCAAGGUAUGGAUGUUCUGAGCCCUAGACACGGGUCCCCCUCGUGUCACAGCCUCGGUUAGGUUGUACGUUAGUCCAAACGUCAGGGUAGCAGAGGCAACCGG